This 497-nucleotide ribosomal RNA is filed under the name uncultured bacterium. RNAcentral's name for it is "partial 16S ribosomal RNA". It matches the Rfam family "Bacterial small subunit ribosomal RNA", at positions 28 to 507 of the family's 1533-position model. The record is from RNAcentral.
GAUGAACGCUGGCGGCGUGCCUAAUACAUGCAAGUCGAGCGAACAGACGAGGAGCUUGCUCCUCUGAUGUUAGCGGCGGACGGGUGAGUAACACGUGGAUAACCUACCUAUAAGACUGGGAUAACUUCGGGAAACCGUAGCUAAUACCGGAUAAUAUUUUGAACCGCAUGGUUCAAUAGUGAAAGACGGUUUUGCUGUCACUUAUAGAUGGAUCCGCGCCGCAUUAGCUAGUUGGUAAGGUAACGGCUUACCAAGGCAACGAUGCGUAGCCGACCUGAGAGGGUGAUCGGCCACACUGGAACUGAGACACGGUCCAGACUCCUACGGGAGGCAGCAGUAGGGAAUCUUCCGCAAUGGGCGAAAGCCUGACGGAGCAACGCCGCGUGAGUGAUGAAGGUCUUCGGAUCGUAAAACUCUGUUAUUAGGGAAGAACAUAUGUGUAAGUAACUGUGCACGUCUUGACGGUACCUAAUCAGAAAGCCACGGCUAACUACGUG